GAGAGGAACGUAGCGAAAUGCGAUAAGUAGUGUGAAUUGCAGAAUUCAGUGAAUCAUCGAAUCUUUGAACGCACAUUGCGCCCCAUGGUAUUCCGUGGGGCAUGCCUGUUCGAGCGUCAUUUACCCCCUCAAGCUCCGCUUGGUGUUGGGCGUCUGUCCCGCUUCGCGCGCGGACUCGCCCCAAAGGUAUUGGCAGCGGUCGUGCCAGCUUCUCGCGCAGCACAUUGCGCUUCUCGAGGCACCGGUGGGCCCGCGUCCAUCAAGCUCACCCCCCCAGUUUGACCUCGGAUCAGGUAGGGAUACCCGCUGAACUUAAGCAUAUCAAUAAGCGGAGGA
RNAcentral lists this unclassified non-coding RNA (336 nucleotides) under soil metagenome. Its description in RNAcentral is "partial contains 5.8S ribosomal RNA, internal transcribed spacer 2, and large subunit ribosomal RNA". The stretch from base 3 to 119 matches the Rfam family "5.8S ribosomal RNA", at positions 38 to 154 of the family's 154-position model. The record is from RNAcentral.